UACGGGGGAAAGGGGGGGAUCGCAAGACCUCUCACUAUUGGAGCGGCCGAUAUCAGAUUAGCUAGUUGGUGGGGUAAAGGCCUACCAAGGCAACGAUCUGUAGCUGGUUUGAGAGGACGACCAGCCACACUGGGACUGAGACACGGCCCAGACUCCUACGGGAGGCAGCAGUGGGGAAUUUUGGACAAUGGGGGCAACCCUGAUCCAGCCAUCCCGCGUGUGCGAUGAAGGCCUUCGGGUUGUAAAGCACUUUUGGCAGGGAAGAAACGGCGCUGGUUAAUACCUGGCGCAACUGACGGUACCUGCAGAAUAAGCACCGGCUAACUACGUGCCAGCAGCCGCGGUAAUACGUAGGGUGCAAGCGUUAAUCGGAAUUACUGGGCGUAAAGCGUGCGCAGGCGGUUCGGAAAGAAAGAUGUGAAAUCCCAGAGCUUAACUUUGGAACUGCAUUUUUAACUCCCGAACUAGAGUAUGUCAGAGGGGGGUAGAAUUCCACGUGUAGCAGUGAAAUGCGUAGAGAUGUGGAGGAAUACCGAUGGCGAAGGCAGCCCCC
Molecule: ribosomal RNA, 553 nt
Filed under: Candidimonas sp.
Lineage: Bacteria; Pseudomonadati; Pseudomonadota; Betaproteobacteria; Burkholderiales; Alcaligenaceae
Description: bacterial SSU rRNA
Rfam family: Bacterial small subunit ribosomal RNA
Source: RNAcentral